Molecule: long non-coding RNA, 1168 nt
Filed under: Anas platyrhynchos platyrhynchos (common mallard)
Lineage: Eukaryota; Metazoa; Chordata; Aves; Anseriformes; Anatidae
Description: lncRNA (ENSAPLG00000024892.1)
Source: RNAcentral
GGUGGGGGGGGGGGGGGGGGGGGGGAUAUGGGGCCGGGGUAUGGGGCCGCGCUAUGGGGCCAUGAUAUGAGGUCGUGCUAUGGGGCCGCGCUAUGGGGCCGUGCUAUGGGGCCGCGCUAUGGGGCCAUGAUGUGAGGUCAUGCUAUGGGGCCGUGCUAUGAGGCCGCGCUAUGGGGCUGUGCUAUGGGGCUGCGCUAUGAGGCCACGCUAUGGGGCCAUGCUGUGCUAUGGGGCCAUGAUAUGAGGUCAUGCUAUGGGGCUGUGCUAUGGGGCCGCGCUAUGGGGCUGCGCUAUGGGGCCGCGCUAUGGGGCCGCGCUAUGGGGCUGUGCUAUGGAGCCGCGCUAUGGGGCCGCGCUAUGGGGCCAUGAUAUGAGGUCAUGCUAUGGGGCCGCGCUAUGGGGCCGCGCUAUGGGGCCAUGAUAUGAGGUCAUGCUAUGGGGCUGCGCUAUGGGGCCACACUAUGGGGCCAUGAUAUGGGGCCGUGCUAUGGGGCUGCGCUAUGGGGCCGCGCUAUGGGGCCGCGCUGACCCCCUCCCCACCACCAGGUGCACGUGGACCAGGAGCUGCUGAUCUACGAAGCCUUCAGCCACGACUCCCAGCUGGGGCAGAGCAACCUCAAAGAGCGCUUCAAGAAGGUGCCCCACAACAUCAAUUUCCGCGAGCGGAAGCCGAAGCAGUCCAAGAAGAAGCCGGAGAGCGCGGGGGGCGCCGAGGAGCCGGGGGGGCCGCGGGGCCGCGUGGCCAGGUUCCGCUACUUCGAGGACAUCUACGGCUACUCGGGGGUGAGAUUUUUUUUGGGGGGGGGGCACCCCAAUAUUUGGGGACAUCCCCCAAUAGCUGGGGGCACCCCAAUAUCUGGGGGCACCCCAAUAUCUGGGGGCUAUCUGGGGGCACCCCCAUCUGGGGGCACCCAGCCAUCGUCAUCGCCAUCAAUGUGGGGACCCCCCCCAAUCAAUGUGGGGACCCCCCCCCCUAAAUUUGAGGACCGUUUCCCAUCAAUUUCAGGGUCCCCCCAUUAAUAGGGACCCCCCCCAAAAAAAAUUGGGGACCCCACCCAUCAAUUUUAGGAUCCCCCAAUCCAUGCAGUGACCCUCCCCAAAUUUGGGGACUCCUCCCCAUCAGUUUCAGGAUCCCCCCAUCAACUUGGGGACCCCCCCCCCCCCCCAG